UACUGUAGGAGCCGUUUUGCGUUAUUAUUAUUUGGUUUAAGCCCUGCAAUAUCAUUUUUGGACACUUGGUGGCGGUGAUUAAAUGCACUAGGCUGUCAGUAUAUAAGGGUGCACAGGUGACAGGAAGGGUGUGAUUGGACACAGGUAGAGAGAGCAUACAGUUCUCACCAGUGAGCGACCUGAAACACAGCAGUGAUAGAUCAGUGACAGCGAUCAACUCAUACAACCGAACGAAUCAGUGAUAACCUACAACCGAACCAGCUACUCAACCGGAACAGCAACAGACAAGCAGACACCAAUAGACAUCCAUAGAACUGACAACCAUCCAUAACUACAACCGGAAGCUCCAUCUGCGAGACUGAGAUCAGCACCAGAAGGAAGGAGUGUGAAGCACUUGAGGCGGAGGUGAAGAAAAAGAAUCAAACAUGUCAGACUUUGGACAUUUUCUCACAGUGGCCCAGAAAUGUCAUUCUGCCUGCUGGAGUGGCCUUGACUCAGGACAAAAGGCAAAGAGAAGGAAAACAAGAUGCGGUAGAGAGAACCAGCUGAAAAGCAAAGAAAGAAAUGCGCUUUUUCUUUUUUUACAUGCCUCAUCUUGACGCUUUGGCGAUGCGUUAUUUAAAUAAAGGCUGUGUAUGAAAAUAUAU
Molecule: long non-coding RNA, 647 nt
Filed under: Cottoperca gobio
Lineage: Eukaryota; Metazoa; Chordata; Actinopteri; Perciformes; Bovichtidae
Description: lncRNA (ENSCGOG00000019184.1)
Source: RNAcentral